AUGGGGGAGGGGCCCGGGCUCUUACCGCCUGCACCGUGGGGGAAGGGCAGGCCGGGGUGUGUGGGGGAGGGGGCAGACUGGAGGCCGUGGGGGAGGGGUGCUGGCCUGGACGCGGCCCCUUUGGGCGUGGGGGAGGGUCUGCGGGGUGGGGAAGGGGUACGCGGGUGGGGGGAGGUUGCAGAGGACCCGGGCUCCCCUCCCCCGGCGGUGGGGGAGGGGGCGGGCUGGGGGUCCUGGGGGAGGGGCUGGCCUGGGACGAGGCCUCUUUGGGGGUGGGGGAGGGUGCAGGGGCCCCGGGGUCCCCUUUCCCUGCGGCGGGGUCGGGCGCAGGCUGGGGGCCGUGGGGGUGGGCGAUGGGGAGGCCCCGGGUGGGGGAGCGCGCAAGGGCCCCGGGCGGUGGGGGAGGGCGCAGGCUGGGGGCUGUGGAGGGUGAUGGGGGGAGGGCGAUGGGGGCGUCCCGGGUCGGGGAGCGCGCUGGGGCCCCGGGCUCCCCUCCCCCGGCGGCGGCGGCGGCGGGGGCGGGCGCAGGCUGGGGGCGGCGCCCAGGGCCGUCCUCCCGGCCGGGGUCGGCGUUCCGGCGGCCGCUCCCCAGCGGAGGUCACUGGCCGCGCCGGUCCCUCCCGCGUCCCGCCCUCUCCCGCCGCCGCCGUUUUCCCCCCCUCCCCGCCCGCCCCGUCCUCCGCGCUCGGGAGCGAGGAGCCGCCCGCGCCCCCGCCCCGCCGCCGCCGCCGCCGCAGCGCCCUCGCCGCCAUUCGGCACCCGAAACUUUCCAGCGCCCGCGCGUCUCGGGGACUCGGCGGCGGCGGGGGACGCGGGCGCGGGGCGGGGCGGCGGGGGCGGCGCGCGGCGGCUUCGGGCGCCGGGCCCUCGGCUGCCGCGGCGCGGCCCGGGCUCGGCGGCGGCGGCGGCGGCCGGCGGGGCGCAGGCUUGGAGCGGCGGCGCCGGACACAAGUUGCGCGGCUCAGGGCGAGGUAACCGAAGAUAGAAAACAGGCCUAAAAAUAAAUCCCAGAAGGAAGACGAGAUUUGCCUACAUUUGUCUCUGA
RNAcentral lists this long non-coding RNA (1045 nucleotides) under Bos grunniens (domestic yak). RNAcentral's name for it is "lncRNA (ENSBGRG00000014648.1)". Lineage: Eukaryota; Metazoa; Chordata; Mammalia; Artiodactyla; Bovidae. The record is from RNAcentral.